Long non-coding RNA from Cydia pomonella (codling moth), 174 nucleotides. RefSeq lists it as uncharacterized. The record is from RefSeq and is a predicted model, not a curated record. Lineage: Eukaryota; Metazoa; Arthropoda; Insecta; Lepidoptera; Tortricidae. The transcript has 6 exons.
UCUAUAUUUUUUAUAAAUAGGUCGCGCAAGUUUUGUCACAGAAAUUAAGUGACGUAACCAAGGAGGAAAUAAGGAAACUAGUAUCUGAGGAUUCUGACGACGAUCCAGAAGCUGGUAGCAACGGUUAUGAACAGACGGAGAUAGACCAAAUUAAGGUACAUUAUUUGUCUUCAU